This 293-nucleotide ribosomal RNA is filed under the name uncultured bacterium. RNAcentral's name for it is "partial 16S ribosomal RNA". It matches the Rfam family "Archaeal small subunit ribosomal RNA", at positions 455 to 747 of the family's 1478-position model. The record is from RNAcentral.
GUGCCAGCCGCCGCGGUAAUACCGGCAGCACAAGUGAUGGCCGAUAUUAUUGGGCCUAAAGCGUCCGUAGCCGGCCGGACAAGUCCGUUGGGAAAUCCACGUGCUUAACACGUGGGCGACCGGUGGAAACUGCGUGGCUUGGGACCGGAAGACCCGAAGGGUACGUCUUGGGUAGGAGUGAAAUCCCGUAAUCCUGGACGGCCCGCCGAUGGCGAAAGCACUUCGGGAAGACGGAUCCGACGGUGAGGAACGAAAGCCAGGGUCUCGAACCGGAUUAGAUACCCGAGUAGUCC